Molecule: transfer RNA, 73 nt
Filed under: Colletotrichum cereale
Lineage: Eukaryota; Fungi; Ascomycota; Sordariomycetes; Glomerellales; Glomerellaceae
Description: tRNA-Lys
Rfam family: tRNA (bases 5-69)
About the family: Transfer RNA (tRNA) molecules are approximately 80 nucleotides in length.
Source: RNAcentral
GCCCGGCUAGCUCAAUCGGUAGAGCGUGAGACUCUUAAUCUCAAGGUUGUGGGUUCGACCCGUAAGCCGCUCC